Bombyx mori (domestic silkworm) is the source of this 403-nucleotide long non-coding RNA. RefSeq lists it as uncharacterized. The record is from RefSeq and is a predicted model, not a curated record. NCBI's taxonomy places the organism in Eukaryota, Metazoa, Arthropoda, Insecta, Lepidoptera, Bombycidae. The transcript is spliced from 2 exons.
UUAAUCAAUACAGCGCAUACUAGCACUACAAAAUAAUAACUUAUAUGUGUCCAGAGUGAGGAAUGGGGGCGGUAGGCAAGAAAUAAAUAAGAUUCGAGUGCUUCUGCGUAUUUCAAGUGUGAUUAUCCUUAAAUACACACGAAUUUUGAUUAAACAUUGAAGAGUGAAUAAUAAAUUCUGAAAUCAUCAUAUUAAAUUAAGAAACUUGAAUGAAUCUGUUUUCCGAUAUCUAUUUAUCCUGUCGAACUAUGGAUUAUGUUCCGAUGUCAGAAAAACAAUGCCGUUGAGUCCUCAUUUAUGUUCAGUUUCAUGUCUAUGGCCUUAAUCAUCGUACCUACCUGCUAAACUGCUACCGAAACAUGGCUGCAAGCCGAACAGAAGAAUAAAAUUAACAUCAUUAUUA